ACGGGCGGUGUGUACAAGGAGCGGGGACGUGUUCACCGCGCGAUGAUGACACGCGAUUACUGGGGAUUCCAGGUUCACGAGGGCGGGUUGCAGCCCUCGAUCCCAACUACGGUGGAGUUUCAAGGAUUACCUCCCCCUUUCGGGUUCGGAACCCAUUGUCUCCACCAUUGCAGCCCGCGUGCGGCCCGGGGGAUUCGGGGCAUGCUGACCUGCCGUUGCCCCCUCCCUCCUCCACCUUAGCGGUGGCGGUCCCCCUAGUGUGCCCGCUUGCGCGGUGGCAACUAGGGGUGAGGGUCUCGCUCGUUCCUGGACUUAACCAGACACCUCACGGCACGAGCUGGCGACGGCCAUGCGCCACCUCUCAGCGCGUCGGGCAAAGUCAUCAGCUUGGCCCUCAUACUGCUGUCGCCCCCGGUAAAGUUCCCGG
RNAcentral lists this ribosomal RNA (427 nucleotides) under uncultured archaeon. RNAcentral describes it as "partial 16S ribosomal RNA". The record is from RNAcentral.